GCAAACAUUAUUCAAGACUCAACUUUGUUUAAACUAGUUACAGAAAGAAGAACGUGCGACUUUCAGAGAUUUAAACCGACGUACCUCCCAGAUUUGAUCAUCUGUGUACUCUUCAAGAGGGUCCAAGUUACUUCUCAUUGUUCCUUCAAACAUGGUUGGAUCUUGGGGUAUAAUGCUUAGUCUUAAACGCAAGUCAUGCAACCCAAUGGUCAAAAUAUUCACUCCAUCUAUCCUGAUUUCUCCAGCUGAAGGUUCUACAAUGCGGAAAAGAGUUUGUAUCAAAGUCGAUUUCCCGCUUCCUGUCCUUCCAACAAUUCCUGUUCUUAAACCUCCUUUGAAUGUGCAUGUUAUUCCUCGCAACACAAGAGGCAUAUGUGGAGCAUAUUGAACCUAACAAUGUGUCAAAAUUUUGCCAAAUGGUUGAGAUAUAAAAUAAAACAAGUGCGAGCUCUAUAUCACAAAUUUUGAUAGGAGCAAGGUAUAAUAGAUAUGGAUACCUGAAGAUCACGGAGUUCAACUUCACCACGUGAAGGCCAUGAUUGCUCAGGUCGGUUCGAUUCGAUCACAAGAGGUGGUUCACUGGGAACACUUGCAUACUGAAGAAUCCUCUCAACCGAUAUGAUUUUGUUCUCAAGAUUACAGAGAGUCCAAAUCAACCAAGCUUGCAGUGUAUUCAAACUGAGUCCAUAAGUCACGGCUAAUCCCGCGAGACUCGGAUCAAUCACUCCAGUAGGUAUGGAGACCAAGAAAACCAAUGAAAAGACAAAUGUAAGUGAUGACAACAUAUCAAGACGAAAGCAAAGCCAUUCCAUUGCUCCAGCCGUAUAGAAUUUGGGCCUAGAGUAACCAUCACUUAGCCUCAUGUUGUCAGAACGGAAUCUAGAUUCUUGGCUGAAACUCCUAAUGGUUGUCGCUCCUGAAAUCGUUUCAGAAAAAUGCUGAAUCAGAGGAGCUUUGCAUACUCCAACUAAUCGCGAAAGUUCUCGUGCUGCAGCUAUGUAAUACCGCUGCAAAGUUGAAGCUUUUUGUCACAAUUUCAUCACUUUAAUAAACUUAACUAUACUUUGACAGAAUCAACAACUCUUAUGGAAGACUAAAUUGUAAAGCUUAUUGGAAAAUACCUGAUACCAUAUGGAGGCAGCAACCACAGGGAUGAAGACGAGAAAAACCAGCCAAGAAACUUGAGACAUAACUCCAAUGAUUCCAAUAAGCUGAAUGACUGUGAUAGCAACUGAUCCAAAUUGAUACGGUAGUUCCAAAUCUACUGCGGAUUGGUCGGUAGAAGCCUAUACAAGGAAAAAAUGGAACACAAUGAUUACCAAAUAGAUAUAUAUGGAAAUCCUCAAACAACUAUAGUGGCCAGCAACGUACUCUACUCAUGAUUCUUCCACUUGGAGUGGAAUCAAAGAAAGACAUCGGAGAACGAAAAAUGCAGUGAUGCAUUUUAUGAAACAGUUCAGUAGCAGUCUUGUAACCAGCGGUGACAAGAAGCGUGGCUCUAAGAAGAAUGCAGAGGGAACUUCCAAAGGCCAAAGCCACAUACACAAUCAUUAACGUGGAAAGUUUCACAGGAGCUUGCACAUCCUCAGAAACAGGAGUAGCCCAAGCCAUCCAGUAGUUGCUUCCAAUCUGUAGAAGCUGAAAGAGAAUUUGCCCCAACAAUAUGAAAGGCACAAGAGCUCCUCCGUAUGCCAGUGUGAUAUAUUUCCAGUAUACAUCCAAAGCGACACUACCUUUCUCCCUCUCUUCCUCUUGAACAAGUUGUCUUUGAGGCUCCCCAGAAUCUAAUUUAUCAUUCUUCAGAUCUUGACUUUCUUGUUUCCCUUCGAAACCGAUAUCAUCUUUCACAAUACCAUUUUGUUGGCCUAAAGUUGAUUUCUCAGAAACAGAAUUGGCAUCAACAGCAUCAACUACUGCGAGAGCCUCCUGAUGCGCACCUAUAAGCUCCAUGAAAUCAGUUCCAGAGUUGAGGAUAUCACUGUAUCUUCCAGCUUGGCUAAUUCUCCCAUCUUUCAUGACCUGAGGCAUAAGAAGAUUUUGGAUGAUUUCAUAUUCUCAGUGAUACAAAAUAUAUACUAUAUAGGAAGAUAAAAGACAAUAAACUAUUCACAUACCAGUAUAAGAUCAGCAGCAGGUAAGAACUCAACUUGAUGAGUUACAUAUAUAACCGAUUUGGAACACAAAAGCCCCAGUAAAACUUCCUGAAAUAAGUGUGAGAAUAAAAAUCAAUUUGAUACAUGAUUGUUUACAGAAGAAUAAACCACAAUCUCAAUAAUGGGUAAGACAGAAGAUUGUACCUUAAAGAGAUGUGACCCUGUGUGUGCAUCCACAGCACUAAAAGGAUCAUCGAACAGAUAGAUAUCCGCAUCUUGGUAGAGAGCACGUGCAAUCUGUAUCCUUUGCUUUUGUCCACCACUCAAAUUGAUGCCACGUUCUCCAAUAACGGUCUGAUCACCGAAUGAAAGUAUCUCCAGAUCCUUACUCAAAGAACAUGCUUCAAGCACCUUGUCAUAUCGUUCUCUUUCCAUAGGUUUGCCAAACAAGAUGUUAUCCUCAAUUUUACCACUCUGAAUCCAAGGAGAUUGUGCAACAUACGCUUUUGUCCCACAAACCUUCAGACUUCCAGAUAUCUUGGGUACUUCUCCUAGUAAAGAUGAAAGUAAACUCGAUUUCCCAGAGCCGACGGUACCACAAACUGCAACCUUCAUCCCAGGAAAGACCUUGAAAUUUAUGUCUUUUAGAGUUGGGUUAGGCGAUGAGAUAUCCCAAGAUAAAGUGCUGUUGAUCACUUCUAUUGCCACUUCUGAACUUCCCUUAGGAAGCCUCUCUACAAUGUCUGGCUGCAAAUUAUCCAGACAAAGGUAGGAUGCAAGUCUAUCAAGAGAGACUUUUGUCUGCACAAUCAUGGAGAUAGUGUCAGGAAGAUUGUAGAUCGGCUCUUGUAGAAUCCUGAAGGUUGCAAGUGCAGAGAGUAUCUUUCCUGAUUCAAGGGGAAUUCCAAGAAGUAUACAAGCACCAAAAGUGGAGACUGACACCAGAGUAGGAGCCCCCCAGAAAACAAAGCUAAUAACAGCCGAGUUAUACACAUACUUUUUCAGCCAUCCUUCCUCAGAUUUGCGAAGAUCGAAAAUCUUGGAGAGAAACUUCAUUUCCCAUCCUUGAAGCUUGAGAAUCCUCAUGUUUCUUAAGAUCUCAGAUGUUGAUUUCAUCCGGCUAUCCUUAGCUUCCAUUAACUUCUCCUGAAACCUCUCUUGCAUUCUCCCGAAUGGAAAAUUCACAAGCAUUACUAUAAUGGUAGCAAUUAAAGCCGCUAUUGAUGCUAGACCAAGAUUUCUAUACAAGAUCCACAGAGCUAGACCGACUUGUAACAAGACCAUCCAGGGGUCAUGCAUGUACCAACUAAAAUUACCAAUCCUCUCGGCAUCCACAGUCAUGAAAUUGAUAAUCUCCCCACUUGUGCGUCCUUGUUUUGACUGGCAUGAAAGGGUCAGACCCUUUUCGUAUAUCAUUGCAACCAAGACUGAUCUCAUCCUAAUACCAACCUUCUGUAGCCUAAAGAACCAAUGUCUCUGUGAAAGGCACUCCACAAGCUUAGCACCAAAGAAACUAAUGACUAGCACAUAUCCCUCGUGGUUGUACUGUCUACGUCCAUUAAGGUAUUGAACGAAAGUGUCAAUGAGUGCUGGCCCAACAUAUGAUGCAACCGUGUAGAUGAAAGCAAAGAAGGCUGUUACUAGAAUCUCCCACUGAGCCGAAAAAUACAACGCUUUUAUAAGCUUGAACGUGGUAACGCCACUUCUCUCGCCCCCAUCUGAUGCUUCAAGCAUACUCCUAAACUUAGGAGCUAACCCGAUUACGCUGUCAGUAUCAUGAAGCUGCGGAACAUCUUCUAGAUCAAUGAUUUUCUUGUUUCCAAGGUCUAUUAAUGGACUCAUCCAUGAGAAAGUCAAAAGCCUGAGAAUGCCAGCUCUCGAGUAAGGAGUAGCCUCAUCACUCCCAUUGGUUUUAUUCAACUCAACAGCGCCACCACCACCAACACGAGAAUCACCACCGUUCAAUAGAGGUUCUUCCAAAACUCCAUUACUGUUGCUUCUAUCUUUCUUGAGGAAAGCCACGUAACCGAGAAACACAGCAGCACUAAAAGCGACUAUAUCGAACACCAGAAGGUGAAAAGGUACGGUAUCAUGUCUCUUGUACAUCACAAAAUCUACCACAAGAGAGUAGCAAGAGACGGCGAGAUAGAAAACCAACCAUAGCCUAAGUAAAAAGGGAGCCUUUAAAUGCUCAAAAUCCCUGCAGCGAUGCAAACAAAUCGACAAAACCCCCCAAGAAACCAUUCCCAAUAGAAACCCAAGGGAAGAAACUAGCUGGUCACUAUCUGACCAGCCACUCUCGUACCAAUAGAAACCACUCAACGACAUCAACAGAAGAUUAAGCAGAGACAGGGCUAAACUACAAAAGAGAGCCGACUUAAACCCAAAAUCUCUCUUAUCUUUUAAGCUCUCCGUAACAUCAUAACCACCAUUUCCCCUAAUUCUCUUACGAACCCAUGAGCAAAAGAGGACCAGCAACAAAACCGCGUGUAAGAAACCAGAAACCCAUCUCAGGAAAAGAGGUUUAAGAAGAAAAGACCUAGAAUCCGGAGGCAAAAUAGAUUCCGAAAACGAGAACAGCAUUGCUAACAUACCGGUACCCGUCGUGGAACCGAGAAAGUCCAUGGCUUUAUCGCUCUCUCUCUUCUCUCUGUUUUCCAAUGAUUUGAAAAAGGUUCGUAAUUAAAAUAUUAUUUGGUAGCGGCGAGUUUUGGAGGAGGAGGCUACUUAUAGAAGAGUGGAGUGAUGAUGUAGACAGAAUAUCUUGGAGAGCACGCUCACGAAGCCAAGAGGAAGAAGAAGAAGAAGAAGAAGAAGAAGAAAGAGACAAGUCUCCGUUCCUCUCCUCUCAAACCCCACCAGAGCACUUUGGCUUCGUUUGUUUUUUACCACUUUCACGGGUCUUUGACAAUCUAUAUUUCCAAUUUAUUAAAAUGUUGAGAAAACAAAUUUGGUUACUGUUUUUUAGCCAAAAAAAAAGGAUAUUCGUUUAAUAUCCAUGUUUUUUUUUUUUCCUAUCUUAAGAUGAGCUGAUUUGUUGCCAAAAUAUUGAUACGAAUUUUGAAGAAGAAAAAAGGAAAUAAAGUUGGUACCUGCUAAUAGUACUAUAGAACUCAUGUAUUUAUUUUUACUUCUAUUUUGAAUUUUGCAGCUGUUUAAUUCGAUUUAUCAAUUGUAAAAAGGAAAAAAAAGAAGAGAAAAUCGAUUUGUUAAAACUUUCAUAAAAGAAAUUCUUUAUUCACAAGUCUCAUUGGAAAAGAUAGGGGAUAGAGCCAUUUUUUCGAAAGCAAGUGCUUGCUGACUUUUCAACUACGAUCCAUGUCUGUCUGAUGACGUACCAUUUACCUUUAAAUAAAGUUGUCUUCUUAGCUUGUGGUUCUAAAUUUAAGAUACUAGUACAUAUUAAGCUUCAAUUUUCAUUUUAUGUCACUUUUUAUUUUUUUCUAUGUUCUUUUUUUCUUUGUUAAAUAUCCGACACACUAAUACACUACGUAGACGAACCUUACCAUACAUUUUUAUCGGUAGUAUAUGCUAUCAUUUAGUCGUGAGAUCAAACAAAAACAAAUUUUAAUCCUCUUCAAAGGUGAAAGUGAAACCAUUAACAAAUGUAAACAUUUUUAACAUAAUUAAUCACAACGCACAGCCCAACAACUAACUUAUCAUACUUUUUUUGGGUUUAGAUAUUUUGGUAAAUGGAAAAAUAAACUAUUAUAAAUUUUGGAAUAUUUGGGAAGUUGUCUCAUAGUGCACAAAUUUCUUGGGAAGAAAAUCAAGAAGAUUCAUAGAGGAUUGGGCUGCAAGGAAGUGAUAAGUCUCUGUAUCUUAUCUGUCAAUAGCUGUCCCACAACAUCAUUAUCAUCUCAUAAGACUACUUUUUAUAACUAUAAUUUAAUAAUAUGGUCAGCAUUCAAAUUCAUACUCUAAUAAUCAAGUUAUCAUUCUUUAAGCCGUUAGUUUACCACGAGAUGGAGCCUGUGUGCAUGUAUGUGGUCAUAGCUACUGGACUCUAAAGUCCGAAGUCUACUUUUUCCUUUCUUUUGACAAGUCUUUGUCCAUACUUUAUUUUUGCCACUUCAAUUAUGCCACUUUCAUGGAAGUUUCAUCAUCUUAAAAAGUCAUGCACAAACGUCUGAUCACAAAUUACAUAGAAACACGACAAAGGCAAGGCGAUAAACAAACUUGUUUGGUCCCAUUUUUAUGGAUCUUUGAUUCUAUCAGCUUCUUCUGGAUUUGGAUUCAGAACUCGUUGUGUACUCCGCCACAAGCUUUGAGAAUAAUGACGACCUGUCUUCUAGCAAUCUCGCCGGUGAAUCAUGUUCUUUGAUAAGACCUGCAAUAGGAUACAUAAACAGAUUUAAUACAAGUCUUAUGAUUAUAAAAUGUAAACAUAAGUGCAUAAUCAAAGUCACGACCUUGGUCUAGGAGCAGGACCAUAUCGCUGUCUAUAACAGAAGAUAUUCUGUGUGCGAUUGUUAUCACUGUACAAUCCGCAAAGUGGUGCCUCAGAGUCUCCUGGAUCAGAUUAUCAGUAGCGGUAUCAAUAGAAGCAGUGGCUUCAUCAAGAACCAAUAGUUUGCUUCUCUUGAGCAAGACUCGUCCCAGGCAUACCAGUUGUCUCUGACCAACACUCCAGUUCUGUCCAUUCUCACUAACUAAAAUAUAAGAGAUUCCUUUCAUUAGAUGUGUUAAACAUAUUAGAGAUGACUCUUGUCAACAAUAGUUUUAUUAACACUAACCAGGGGAAUCCAGCUUUAGUUCUUUCUUCCUUACUUCAUCCCCAAGUUGACAAUUGUCGAGUGCCUGAGAAGAGAACAAAGAAAAUCGUCUUAGAACCUUCCUUUGGCUAUCUGCAGAAACAUCGAAAGAAACAAGAGCCAACGAACCUCCCAGAUUUGGUCAUCAGUGUAUUCCUCAAGAGGGUCCAAGUUACUACGAACCGUGCCUUCAAACAUGGUUGGAUCUUGAGGUAUGAUACUUAGUCUGGAACGCAGGUCAUGCAGCCCAAUGGUCA
Molecule: long non-coding RNA, 7104 nt
Filed under: Arabidopsis lyrata
Lineage: Eukaryota; Viridiplantae; Streptophyta; Magnoliopsida; Brassicales; Brassicaceae
Description: long non-coding RNA (ALYR_LNC002288)
Source: RNAcentral